RNAcentral lists this ribosomal RNA (253 nucleotides) under uncultured bacterium. RNAcentral's name for it is "partial 16S ribosomal RNA". It matches the Rfam family "Bacterial small subunit ribosomal RNA", at positions 524 to 776 of the family's 1533-position model. The record is from RNAcentral.
UACGUAGGGGGCUAGCGUUGUCCGGAAUCAUUGGGCGUAAAGAGCGUGUAGGCGGUCCGGUAAGUCCGCUGUGAAAGUCGGGGGCUCAACCCUCGAAUGCCGGUGGAUACUGUCGGGCUAGAGUGCGGAAGGGGCGAGUGGAAUUCCUGGUGUAGCGGUGAAAUGCGCAGAUAUCAGGAGGAACACCUAUUGCGAAGGCAGCUCGCUGGGACGUUACUGACGCUGAGACGCGAAAGCGUGGGGAGCAAACAGG